Molecule: small nucleolar RNA, 132 nt
Organism: Coregonus clupeaformis (lake whitefish)
Lineage: Eukaryota; Metazoa; Chordata; Actinopteri; Salmoniformes; Salmonidae
Product: small nucleolar RNA SNORA49
Exons: 1
Source: RefSeq, a predicted model, not a curated record
CUUCCUCUACCUUUAUCCAGUCACUCUGUGGCCAGUUGAGUUGUCUGGCAUUGAAAGAGUAUACAGCAUAAUGGCUCUCACCUCUCUCAUCCAAGACCAUUAUCCUACAUGAGGCUUGUGAUAGCUGUAAAA